AGUGGGGAAUCUUAGACAAUGGGCGCAAGCCUGAUCUAGCCAUGCCGCGUGAGUGAAGAAGGCCUUAGGGUCGUAAAGCUCUUUCGCCUGUGAAGAUAAUGACUGUAGCAGGUAAAGAAACCCCGGCUAACUCCGUGCCAGCAGCCGCGGUAAUACGGAGGGGGUUAGCGUUGUUCGGAAUUACUGGGCGUAAAGCGCGCGUAGGCGGACAUUUAAGUCAGGGGUGAAAUCCCGGGGCUCAACCCCGGAACUGCCCUUGAUACUGGGUGUCUUGAGUUCGAGAGAGGUGAGUGGAAUUCCGAGUGUAGAGGUGAAAUUCGUAGAUAUUCGGAGGAACACCAGUGGCGAAGGCGGCUCACUGGCUCGAUACUGACGCUGAGGUGCGAAAGUGUGGGGAGCAAACAGGAUUAGAUACCCUGGUAGUCCACACCGUAAACGAUGAAUGCCAGUCGUCGGGCAGCAUGCUGUUCGGUGACACACCUAACGGAUUAAGCAUUCCGCCUGGGGAGUACGGUCGCAAGAUUA
Molecule: ribosomal RNA, 525 nt
Filed under: uncultured bacterium
Lineage: Bacteria
Description: bacterial SSU rRNA
Rfam family: Bacterial small subunit ribosomal RNA
Source: RNAcentral